AGCACGCAAGCCCUUGUAGAAGAAAAAAAAGAAGUGCUUUCAUCUUCGCCUCGGCUGACGUAGCAGUUGAAAGGGAUGAAACGCUCUGAAAUCGACUACACGUACCCGACUCAUCACAAGGUCGUUAAGCUCAUGGUGUUUAACCAAUACUAGGCACCGCACGUGGUUGCGUGGUGUUGAACCCGUUUAGGGCAGCCACCUCCGAUAUGUCAUGGCUGUUUACUUUUGAGUGACGGGUUCUCAAAAAUGGCAAACAAACAAGCAAAAAAAGAGAGAAAAAAAAUUGGAGAACUCCAGGAAGCAAUAACUGGGAACGCAAGACCGUUGACUUCUGCAAUCUCGAGGAGUUUCUAAUUUUUGCCCUCUACCAGAGAACUACGCCUCCGACCUGUGAGGAGCGCUCUCAAGGACUAAUGGGACUAUUGUGACCACCCAGAGAUAGCUCGUCGCAAAUGCCAACAAGGGCCCGAGUACUAUGGGUUCCCCUUUGGCUAGAAAGCAGGGCUAUCUACAUUAACAGAGAAAACCAAGCUGACAGCCACUCGACAACACACACUAAAGGAUGUUCUACAACCGCUGACAAGGCCGCACCUGUGAACAACAGAAAAGGUCAAUGGUAAACCAGGAAAGUUCGUACGUAACAGUUCAUAACUACAACGGUGCAUAAUACGAAGAAGAAAGAGAGGCAAGUAUGACAGAACAGAGUGCUCACGUUCUGUUGUAUUAAUGUCUUUUGUCUCCGAAUCUUGCACAGUUGAAAUAAUAAAGCAGUUUCGCACGAAAGGCGAAACAUCAAUUGUGAUAGCAAAUUAUUACAGUUAUACGCAUAAGGUUAGUAGCUUUAUUAGCUGUAUAAAGUGCUGUAAACAUUCCCUUAUUAACUAACAAUCACGGUAUCACAUACACACAGACUAACAUGAACACAUCUCACUAAAUGACCGCAGACACUCGUCAGAACGCUGGCUUGAUGAAGAGCGGCAGUAGCGGCGAGCGAAUUCCUCUGUGCUGCCUCUCGCUUCACCACGAACUAGGCACACGAGAACACAGCGCACAUGACGGCAUCAGCCCUCCGCACGCCUAGCCUUUAUACCCACCGCAGACUGUUUCCAAGAUAGGAUGCGCACAAUCGCGCCAUGUGCUGCCAGAGUACAAGCAGAGAUGCAUGCUACCCUACCUGCAUGGCAUGCCAGCAGCCUUGUAGCAGCGAGGAGCAAUCGGCUUGGCGACAGUAUGCGUGGGUGCGCAAGGUGAUUUCCAGCUUCAAUAUGUUCUGGUGCACUGUUCGCUUCAGGAGUGCCCCUCGCUGUUACAAGGCAGCUGACAUGCCGUGUGGUCGACACUCGCACAAUAUUAUUAAAGAAGGGCAAGGGUGGACUAUUCGAGUGCUAGUUAGUAUGAAUGAAAGCGAGUAAGAAUGCGAGUGAUUGUUGGUGAGUACGUGUAGACAUGUGCGAAAGAGUGCCGUUGAGUGAGUAAACGCGAAGUAUGUUGACUGCAAAAAUAGUUAAACCUCGAUAUAACAAACUUCAACAUAACGAAAUUCUCAAUAUAACAAAGUAUCUAACUUUUCAUAACCUCUUGUCCAUAGAACACCAUGUAGCUCAAUAUUUCGACAUAACAAAAUUUCACUGCCGCCGCAAAGGAAUUUCAAGACAACAAAUCGAAACUUCCACAAACACAGAUGGUCAAAUGAUUGAAUUACAAGAGGCUGCUUGCGAACGCACCUCUCAAAUCGCACGCUGCGUGAUAAGAGUGACCACCGAAGUGGAGCAGCAUCAUGUUCCAUAUAAAGUCCAAGUGCGAUAACAUCCUAUCACGCCCCAUGCACUGUGUGCUUCAGGUGCGAGUGAAAGCACGCGAGGGUGAGACAAGAAAGGUGGUAGCUUCACAAGUGCCGCCUUCCCGUGCAAGCAAAGGAAAGAGAGGGAGAGGAGCAAGCUCGCGAUAAGGUAAUCAAGUGCGCGCGAGGUGGUGGGGAGUGGGGGGUAAGUUGGUGCGCGUCUCGGCCGCGGCUGCGCAUGGCUGUAAGCGCGGCUGAGUGCAUAUGCAGCCACACAUCCUGCUUUAGGCGUAAUGUGCCGCAUGUGCAAAGAGAGCAUGCCGAGAUAGUGUGGCAUCAUGCAAGCUGUCUUCCUGCGCGUUCAGUAUUGGAGGUUGCGUAAUGUCAAGUUUCAGAGACCCGUUGAACCGAGCGAGAGGCAGACGAAGCAUUUGCUGCUGGCGCUUUUCAUGAUAGCAGUGAUGGAAGCGACAUUUUACUUUUUGGAGCAGAUUUACCAGAAAAAAAUGCCACUUUGGAGCAGUCAUAAGUGAUUUCAGAGCAUAAAAAAUUCCACUUUUGGAGCAGCUAUUGGUGUUUUCGGAGCAGAUGACAAAAUAUGCCAUACGACUCCUAGAGUUAAAGGCAUCACCGAAGGAUCUCAUAAAUAUUAUAUUUAUUAUGCAACAUAUUGUACAUGCAAUAAUCAAUGCAAAGUGCAAGAUACAAACAAUUAAGAAAAUGGACGGUUAUCAAACGUGCAGUAAAAUGAGCCA
Molecule: long non-coding RNA, 2535 nt
Organism: Dermacentor silvarum
Lineage: Eukaryota; Metazoa; Arthropoda; Arachnida; Ixodida; Ixodidae
Exons: 4
Source: RefSeq, a predicted model, not a curated record